This is a non-coding RNA of Zonotrichia albicollis (white-throated sparrow), 2427 nucleotides long. NCBI's taxonomy places the organism in Eukaryota, Metazoa, Chordata, Aves, Passeriformes, Passerellidae. The record is from RefSeq and is a predicted model, not a curated record.
AGGACAGACAAGUGGAUUGAGCUGAAAAGUGGAUAAGAGAUUUUAAAUCUGUAUAGGUGUUAACCUACAGGUGUAAUGCUUUGUUGCCAUUCUUUCGCCUUCUGUUUGUGCUGUUAAAACCAUGUUAUGCUUAUUAAUUUCACAAAGACAUAAUAGUCAUAAGAUUUCCUUUACAGACUCAGGUUUAGCUAGUAAUUUAACUUGUGAUGUGAAAUAAAGAUGUUAAAAGCAGCCUCCUACAGCAGAUCUGGGCCUCCCUCCAGCUGAGGUGCUGGUGCACAGCCUGAGGAUUAAGGGUUUCAUCCCAGGUUCAGGGAUGUGUCUGUCACUUUCCUGUGGACAGGUUCAACCAGAUGUGAAGCUGAGCAUGUAUCCCAGAGAUGUAGACACACAUGGACACAGAGUGGGUAAGGUGGGAAGUGACCCCACUGGUGUCAUCUGCUCCAACCUCCCUGCUCAGUGAGGGAAUGAAGGAGUACAUUUGAGCCAAGAAAAAAGAGGAUCUAGAGAAAGUUUCCAUGCAGGAAGGAAGGAAGGAAGACGUGCUGGUGAGCAGUUUCCUGUUCAACUUCCAUUCUAUUUUUAGAGAAGCCCUUAAUGCUGACCAUCUCAAAGGAAACAACUGAAAAGAUAGGAAAACCAACAACAUGGCAAUAAGAAGCUUUCUUCCUUUACAAGAAAGUUGAUGAAAAUAAUGCAUAAAUUUUCAUGACACAACUAAGAGACCAAGUUUAAGAAGACUUGCAAAGGGAAUGGAUCUUCAACAUCUUCUGCACUUCUUCCCAGCACAGCUCCUGCAAGAGCUCUCCAUUAGCUGCUCUCAUUUUCCUCUUUUCUUGCGUAUUGGUAACUUGUACUGAUCAGUUUCUUAGUGGUAUUGUCAGACUCAACAGGGUUAAUAGAAAAAUACACACACACAACACAAAACAACUCCAUUGCCAUCUCUCCUGUUCUCAUAUUUAGAAGGGAAGGGAACAGGAAUGAAAAUGCCAUAAUUAGUGCCUUGAUGCGUUCACUUAAUUUUUUGGCCAUAAUUUGGAUCUUGCAGUCACUGAAGUGUGCCCUCAAAUUAAAAUAUAAACAGGAAAUUGAAAUAUAUACUUGAAGGAUAUCUUCCUGAUGGACAUUUUUUUCUCAUUUGUGAGAGCAUUUGAAGGAUAAGGAAAAUUAGAAUGUUGUUAGUUUUGUACUAGAAUUUCCUAAGGAAUGGCCUAAGUAGGAAAGUGCUCUUUCCUACUUAGGAGGAGUUGUGUCCCUGUCUAUUCAAAGAAUUGGUUUCAGAAAUGAUCUUUCAAAGUUGUAGAUGACUGAAAUUUUUGGUGAAGUUUAUUCCUUGUUGUUAUUAAUAAAGUGUUAUUUACAACUCCCUGAAUAGGUGAGUACAAGAGAAGAAAAAGCCUUAAGGAGAGAUUCUGUGCACAUGUAAAGUAGUGUAUUUCUGUUGUCCUUAAUGAGAUUUGACUAAUUUACAACAGUUGAGGAGUUGUUACAUUAACAUUAACUGUCAAAUAUUACAUUUACAAGUUUAAUACAGGUCAUACUGCUUCAGAGUUAAAUUUUCUUCUUGUACACUGGCAUGUUUCCUAUGCUCUUUAAGAGAGAAGAAUUUAUGUUCUAGUUUCUAAUUUUUUCAAUUCCAGAGCAAAUCUUACUAUAGAUGUAUUUUUAGAAUAUUAUUGAGGCUGGGUGGCUAAAUUUAAUUACAUGAUCAUGUGCUAGGUCACUGUCUUUUUCCUGUAGGGUACUGGUAUCUUCUUAACUGAUUUGCACUAGCAGCUGUGAAGCUGCAUACAUUUUAAAAACUGAGCGUUUUGUAAGUUAAAUAUAAGUUAAAUUUUGUAAGUUAAAUGAGAGAAAGACAGAAAGCUGUUAACGCAUAAACAUUAAUUUGGCAGAUAUUUUUGUGUCUAGAGGGGCAAGAUGGGACGUUUUCAAUUGUUUUAAGGAUCGCUAUUUGCGUACUGUCUGUACUUUGGACAGUAGAAUGUUGCACAAGAGAUUUUUGAUGUACAUUGUGGAAGAAAAUGUAGAAGAAAAGCAAAUGGAUGUAUUUUUAAAAUGGACAGACAGAGAACGAAAAGAUAAUAAUGCUGAAUAAGGAUGUAGUCUUAUGUGUGCAUUUGAAAACAGAAAGAAAGGCUAGGAACUUUAUGUAAAUUCACAGAUUUAAAUUUCCUGCCACAUUUACAUCCUAAGCGAGCCUGGGGACACAACGCCAGCCUUAGCAUUGGAGCAGACCAUGAAAUGCUAAACUGAUUUUGUACUCGGAGGUUACCAGUGUUCUAAAGUUUACAGCAUUUUUUGUAAAUUGUUGUUUCUUGCCUGUGGCUUUCAAUCAUUGAAAUGGUUUGGAGAACAACUGAAUUAUAAUCUAGUUUUUAAAAUUUUAGUAAUAGAAUUAAAUUUAGAGUAUAUGCCCUGUGUUUA